Molecule: ribosomal RNA, 457 nt
Filed under: bacterium
Lineage: Bacteria
Description: bacterial SSU rRNA
Rfam family: Bacterial small subunit ribosomal RNA
Source: RNAcentral
UAACGUAGGGAAACUUACGCUAAUACCGCAUACGACCUACGGGUGAAAGCGGAGGACCUUCGGGCUUCGCGCAGAUAGAUGAGCCGAUGUCGGAUUAGCUAGUUGGCGGGGUAAAGGCCCACCAAGGCGACGAUCCGUAGCUGGUCUGAGAGGAUGAUCAGCCACACUGGAACUGAGACACGGUCCAGACUCCUACGGGAGGCAGCAGUGGGGAAUAUUGGACAAUGGGCGCAAGCCUGAUCCAGCCAUGCCGCGUGGGUGAAGAAGGCCUUCGGGUUGUAAAGCCCUUUUGUUGGGAAAGAAAAGCAGUCGGUUAAUACCCGAUUGUUCUGACGGUACCCAAAGAAUAAGCACCGGCUAACUUCGUGCCAGCAGCCGCGGUAAUACGAAGGGUGCAAGCGUUACUCGGAAUUACUGGGCGUAAAGCGUGCGUAGGUGGUUUGUUAAGUCUGAUGUG